Small nuclear RNA from Cebus imitator (Panamanian white-faced capuchin), 104 nucleotides. NCBI's taxonomy places the organism in Eukaryota, Metazoa, Chordata, Mammalia, Primates, Cebidae. The record is from Ensembl.
UUCUCUUUUGGGGCACAUAUACUAAAAUCGGAAUGAUACAGAGAAGGUUGCCAUGGCCCCUAUGCAAGGAUGACAUGCAAAUUUGUGAAUCAUUCUAUACUUUU